Molecule: microRNA, 22 nt
Filed under: Macaca mulatta (Rhesus monkey)
Lineage: Eukaryota; Metazoa; Chordata; Mammalia; Primates; Cercopithecidae
Description: Mml-Mir-605-v2_3p (mature (guide))
Source: RNAcentral
GAAGGCACUGUGGGAUUUAGAA